GUUGAUAUCUAAGAUUUAUAGACUACAGGGAUCCUCAAAAAGAAUGUGUCUUGUAAGGGAAUCCGGGCCAUCCACCGAUUUGGCUUCGGGUAGGUGCUAUCCGUGCGGCAACAUCGCCAUCCGUGCACCAAACGGAUAGACCUUUAAGCGAUAGAAGUCGAUGCGGGUUGAGUUUAAGAUAUUAGGUUCAAGAAUUUGGUUAACAGAUCAAAAUGGUGAUGUUGUUUAGACCAUGUGUUUGGAAGACUGCCUCUUUGAUAUUUGUUUAUUAAAUUUUAAGAUGUUAGGUUUUUGAGGGUGUUUCAUGUUGUGCAUCUCAUUUUUAGUGUUCGUCUACAUAGCGUGUUACCAGAUUAUGACUGAUUUUACAUCAUGUUGUGCAUCUCAUUUUUAGUGUUCGGCUACAUAGUGUGUUACCGGAUUAUGACUAAUUUUACAUAAAU
Molecule: long non-coding RNA, 443 nt
Filed under: Helianthus annuus (common sunflower)
Lineage: Eukaryota; Viridiplantae; Streptophyta; Magnoliopsida; Asterales; Asteraceae
Description: sRNA HanXRQr2_Chr11g0507861
Source: RNAcentral